Cricetulus griseus (Chinese hamster) is the source of this 149-nucleotide small nucleolar RNA. NCBI's taxonomy places the organism in Eukaryota, Metazoa, Chordata, Mammalia, Rodentia, Cricetidae. The record is from Ensembl.
UGUGCACAUUGUUAGAGCUUGGAGUUGAGGUCACAAACUGGUCGAUGAACUCCCAAGUGUAGGUAGUGUGCUAAACGAGUGGCAAGGUUUUCGCUAACACCCCACUCUGUUCCAGUGAGUGGAGUUUGAUAGUAACCUUUGCUACAAGU